CAUGAUUCCAGUCUUGUAAAAUGAUGUUGAAACCAACCUGGGGCUGUGAAUAAAAUUUAUAUUUUGGAUAUAUUAUGAGUCCUCCAUAUAGUCCCAUGCUACGUUGGUCUCCGAUAUGUGCAUGGGCCAGGAAACUUUCCAUUAAUGGCUAUGACAAGACGAGAUCCAAAUCCGUCUCCAGUAAUGACUUCCGACAGCCUCUCAUUAGAAAGUGGAAAACUGUAACUCGUAUCAUUAUACAGAUAUAGACGACCAUUUCUAGGACGAACUAGCGAAGGAGGGUUCAUUGUCAUCAUAGUAGGGCCAUUUCCUGGACUUAGCCACCAGCCUUGUUGGUAGGUGUUUUUUUUUACACAAAACAGGAAGAACAAAAACUUGAUCCUGAAAAGAAAUGAACUGCAAAUAUAAAACGUAGGCUAGAGUAUGUAUGUUUAAAUGUCAUAGUCAAAAUAAAUUGUCAUUACUCUU
Long non-coding RNA from Magallana angulata, 468 nucleotides. RefSeq lists it as uncharacterized. The record is from RefSeq and is a predicted model, not a curated record. NCBI's taxonomy places the organism in Eukaryota, Metazoa, Mollusca, Bivalvia, Ostreida, Ostreidae. The transcript is spliced from 3 exons.